CAGGGGAGGAUAUAGUCACAUCAUGGACCAUCACUUCUUGACAGUUGUCGAACUUAAGAUGGCACUGUGAGCUGUUGAUAAUAGUGAUAUCAGCUACCACAACUUUGAAACUACCAUAGAACCUCAAUGCCUGCAUCAAGUUUGAUCUGUGGCAUUCUAUCAAGCUCCACAUUGUACUGCUGGAAAGUACCCAAGGCCCCGUGGAUGUAACCAACAUGAUAUCAUGCAUGGUAUGCCAAAUACGAGGUUAGUUUGAAACAGAGCAUUUGAAAGGCAAACUGGGACAAAAAGAAUUGCUGUUGAGAAAUUCAGACCCAGAGAAUGCUUGAUGCUUGAAGCAGAGCAUUGAAAGGGCAAAGCUGCCAACCUUAGUGUCAUCUGAGACUCCGUCACCCUUGGCUCCAAAAUCAACCACGUUGAAGACUGCACCCUGUGAGCCUGCCGAUGGUGGCUGUGGCGGCGGUUGAGAACCCUUUCCACAGCUUGGAGUUGGUGACUUGGAACUUGAAUGCCUAUUGCCGUUGGCAGGGCUUGGACUCGGGCUGACAGGAGCAUUCGGGGUUGGGCUUGGACUUGGUUGGUAUGGAUUCUGGUAUCCUUUGCCAGCACCAGGACUCGGUGUCGAGCUGACCGGUGGCUUCGGGCUCGUCUGGUUGCGGCUGUAUUGACGGUGGGAGCUUCCCUUCUUUCCUUUGCCUUUCUUCUUUAACUGAGACGAGCUUUGUGAGCCCCUUUGCCUCCAAUGCUUGCCUAUUCUUGCGUCGCAGACGUCAAUGGUGGAGCAGAGAGCAAGCAAGACAAGGAGAAGGAGGCCGAUGCCUUUUGCUCUGAGCUUCAUCCUUUUGUUUGUUUCUAUUUGCUGUGUGGAGAUUAGAGUGCGUAUGUGCUGGGAAAGUAGAUGGAGAAUUCAGAGCGAGAGGCUUGUGAGGAGGGAAGGGAGGGGGUUUAAAUAGCAGACCUCAGAGUUGGCUAUGUUCCUGUUUCACAGGAUUUUAGGUGAAAAUGAAAUGAAAAAUAUUGGGAGAUGGGGCCCCAACUCCCGUGCAGGCAAGGGCAAACAUACGCGUCAGUCUUGCAAUUGCACAGAGGGGUUGUAGUGUCCUCUUGUUACUUUUGUUCAUCCCCAUAGCCAUUUGUAGCGUUUGAUU
Molecule: long non-coding RNA, 1148 nt
Organism: Phragmites australis (common reed)
Lineage: Eukaryota; Viridiplantae; Streptophyta; Magnoliopsida; Poales; Poaceae
Exons: 3
Source: RefSeq, a predicted model, not a curated record